Molecule: ribosomal RNA, 515 nt
Filed under: uncultured archaeon
Lineage: Archaea
Description: bacterial SSU rRNA
Rfam family: Archaeal small subunit ribosomal RNA
Source: RNAcentral
AACCUUUACACUGCACGACAGUGCGAUAGGGGGACUCCGAGUGCGAGGGCAUAUAGCCCUCGCUUUUCUGUACCGUAAGGUGGUACAGGAACAAGGACUGGGCAAGACCGGUGCCAGCCGCCGCGGUAAUACCGGCAGUCCGAGUGAUGGCCGAUAUUAUUGGGCCUAAAGCGUCCGUAGCUGGCCGCACAAGUCCAUCGGAAAAUCCACCCGCUCAACGGGUGGGCGUCCGGUGGAAACUGUGUGGCUUGGGACCGGAAGGCGCGACGGGUACGUCCGGGGUAGGAGUGAAAUCCCGUAAUCCUGGACGGACCGCCGAUGGCGAAAGCACGUCGCGAGAACGGAUCCGACAGUGAGGGACGAAAGCUAGGGUCUCGAACCGGAUUAAAUACCCGGGUAGUCCUAGCCGUAAACGAUGCUCGCUAGGUGUGGCGCAGGCUACGAUCCUGCGCUGUGCCGUAGGGGAGCCGUGAAGCGAGCCGCCUGGGAAGUACGUCUGCAAGGAUGAAACUUCA